This 534-nucleotide ribosomal RNA is filed under the name uncultured Helotiales. Its description in RNAcentral is "eukaryotic LSU rRNA". The stretch from base 174 to 327 matches the Rfam family "5.8S ribosomal RNA". The record is from RNAcentral. Lineage: Eukaryota; Fungi; Ascomycota; Leotiomycetes; Helotiales.
AUCAUUACAGAGUUCAUGCCCUUCGGGGUAGAUCUCCCACCCUAUGUAUUUAUACCUUUGUUGCUUUGGUAGGCCGUCACACUUCGGUCUGACCACUGGCUUCGGCUGGUGCGUGCCCGCCAGAGGACCAAACUCUGAAUGUUAGUGAUGUCUGAGUACUAUAUAAUAGUUAAAACUUUCAACAACGGAUCUCUUGGUUCUGGCAUCGAUGAAGAACGCAGCGAAAUGCGAUAAGUAAUGUGAAUUGCAGAAUUCAGUGAAUCAUCGAAUCUUUGAACGCACAUUGCGCCCCGUGGUAUUCCGCUGGGCAUGCCUGUUCGAGCGUCAUUAUGACCACUCACGCCUGGCGUGGUGUUGGGGCACGCGGUUCCGCGGCCCUCAAAUCCAGUGGCGGCGCCGGUUGGCUCUAAGCGUAGUAAAACUUCUCGCUUCAGGGUCCUCUCGGUGGCUCGCCAGAACCCCCCAACUUCUUAAGGUUGACCUCGGAUCAGGUAGGGAUACCCGCUGAACUUAAGCAUAUCAAUAAGCGGAGGA